This 517-nucleotide ribosomal RNA is filed under the name uncultured bacterium. RNAcentral's name for it is "bacterial SSU rRNA". It matches the Rfam family "Bacterial small subunit ribosomal RNA", at positions 395 to 903 of the family's 1533-position model. The record is from RNAcentral.
GACCGCGUGAGCGAUGAAGGCCUUCGGGUCGUAAAGCUCUGUUGUUAGGGAAGAACAAGUACCAGAGUAACUGCUCGUACCUUGACGGUACCUAACCAGAAAGCCCCGGCUAACUACGUGCCAGCAGCCGCGGUAAUACGUAGGUGGCAAGCGUUAUCCGGAAUUAUUGGGCGUAAAGCGCGCGCAGGCGGUUUCUUAAGUCUGAUGUGAAAGCCCCCGGCUCAACCGUGGAAGGUCAUUGGAAACUGGGGAACUUGAGUGCAGAAGAGGAAAGCGGAAUUCCCCGUGUAGCGGUGAAAUGCGUAGAGAUGUGGAGGAACACCAGUGGCGAAGGCGGCUUUCUGGUCUGUAACUGACGCUGAGGCGCGAAAGCGUGGGGAGCAAACAGGAUUAGAUACCCUGGUAGUCCACGCCGUAAACGAUGAGUGCUAAGUGUUAGAGGGUUUCCGCCCUUUAGUGCUGAAGUUAACGCAUUAAGCACUCCGCCUGGGGAGUACGGGCGCAAGACUGAAACUCA